Molecule: ribosomal RNA, 450 nt
Filed under: Pseudomonas sp. R-28208
Lineage: Bacteria; Pseudomonadati; Pseudomonadota; Gammaproteobacteria; Pseudomonadales; Pseudomonadaceae
Description: bacterial SSU rRNA
Rfam family: Bacterial small subunit ribosomal RNA
Source: RNAcentral
CUGGCUCAGAUUGAACGCUGGCGGCAGGCUUAACACAUGCAAGUCGAGCGGUAACAGAGAGUAGUUUACUAUUCUGCUGACGAGCGGCGGACGGGUGAGUAAUGCCUAGGAAUCUGCCUAGUAGUGGGGGAUAACUUGCCGAAAGGUAAGCUAAUACCGCAUACGUCCUACGGGAGAAAGGAGGGGACCUUCGGGCCUUUCGCUAUUAGAUGAGCCUAGGUCGGAUUAGUUAGUUGGUGAGGUAAUGGCUCACCAAGACCGCGAUCCGUAACUGGUCUGAGAGGAUGAUCAGUCACACUGGAACUGAGACACGGUCCAGACUCCUACGGGAGGCAGCAGUGGGGAAUAUUGGACAAUGGGGGGAACCCUGAUCCAGCCAUGCCGCGUGUGUGAAGAAGGUCUUAGGAUUGUAAAGCACUUUAAGUUGGGAGGAAGAGCAGUUAACUAAUA